This 253-nucleotide ribosomal RNA is filed under the name uncultured bacterium. RNAcentral's name for it is "partial 16S ribosomal RNA". It matches the Rfam family "Bacterial small subunit ribosomal RNA", at positions 524 to 776 of the family's 1533-position model. The record is from RNAcentral.
UACGUAGGGUGCAAGCGUUGUCCGGAAUUAUUGGGCGUAAAGAGCUCGUAGGCGGUUUGUCGCGUCGGCUGUGAAAACUCGGGGCUCAACCCCGAGCCUGCAGUCGAUACGGGCAGACUAGAGUGCUGUAGGGGAGACUGGAAUUCCUGGUGUAGCGGUGAAAUGCGCAGAUAUCAGGAGGAGCACCGGUGGCGAAGGCGGGUCUCUGGGACGGUACUGACGCUGAGACGCGAAAGCGUGGGGAGCGAACAGG